Molecule: long non-coding RNA, 2518 nt
Organism: Brassica napus (rape)
Lineage: Eukaryota; Viridiplantae; Streptophyta; Magnoliopsida; Brassicales; Brassicaceae
Exons: 3
Source: RefSeq, a predicted model, not a curated record
CCCUUUUGAUACGGGAACGACGCACCUUUUAAACUGAUUAUUAGAUUGAAGUAUUGGUUAGAGUCGUUAUUUUUUUUCUGAGAACGCUUCUCAAUCGAAGUCCCAAGGAAAAGCUUUGGUUCCUCAUCAUGCUCUGCUCUAACCGGCCAACUCGACGGCUACAAUUGAUUUCUAAUAUAUUUCGCCGCGAAUCUAAACCGCCACCACCGUCUUCAUUGAUGAUGAGACUGACGUUAUAAAGUUGAUGAGAGAGAAGAGCAAGAAGUAGAAGAAGAAAGUUGUUGCGGUGACAACGCUGCCAUGGAUGGAAUUGAAAAGCUCAAUUUCGAGAAAAUAAGAUACGGAGGAUAGAUCAUGUCAUCUGAUGUUGAGGCUCAACUACGACGCCAAUUUGGAAGCUUCGUCUGUUAAAUCUUGUGCUGUUUCUUGGGUCGGAAGCAACCGGGGCAGACGUCAAGUGCAUGUCUUUCUCUAAUCACAUUUCUCUUUAGCCAUUGAAAAUCUGUUUUUUGUUUUCUAAAUUAGUUUUAUAUUAAUUUCCCGUAAUUGAUACUACAUUAGAAAUUCUGUUAUAAGUACUAGGUGUAGAGAUAUGUUUGAUUUAACAAAAGUUUCCGAACGUAUAGAUGAGAUGUUUUUAGAUGUCAGUGAAUAUAUUAUAUUGCAUAGAUGGUAGAUGUAUACACAAGAGAAGGCGGUUAACUGGUUCAAAUUAAUUAUCCAUUCCUUAUUUACAUAUCAUUCUUUUUAAUCUCUUGCAUGUUCUCAACUUCGGUUACAUGUUAUUUGUCUGAUUAGGCUGGUUCCAUAUCGAUGGCAAGAGAAUCAAGAUAUCUAAUGAAUAUUUAUACGCUGCAGUCUAAGUAGGCUUGUGAAUGUGAAUGUGAUUGUAUUGCAGAUCCAGCAUCACCCCUGGGACACUACUGAUCAUCCUUGCUGGUAGGUUCAAGGGCAAGAGAGUUAAUUUUUUUUAACCAACUACCCUCUGUUUUUCUUUUUGUGACCGAUCAAUGAUUGCCACGUCCUGAAAGUUUCUGAUGUUAGCCUCGAUAAAUAUGAUGAUCAGUAUUUUGGAAAGGUAGGCGAGAAGAAGAACAAGAAGGGAGAAGGAGAGUCUCUGAUGGAGCCGUGGAUCUAUAUAUUUGAAUUACAAACACCUAAAGGCGAAAUACAAAAAGUGUACUAUUUAUACUACUCAAGUUUAUUGUUUUCUGCUAGGCUUCAAUCUCAAGCUCUCCCUUGUACUUCUUCACUUCUUUCCUCUUCCUCUGCGUGUUGCCUUCCUCUCGUGUCCUUACUUAUACACUCCAAUGUAUCAGAGUCUUCGAGGCAGAGAGAGAGAAAGUGUCUACACAUAGGGAAAAAGACGACCAGAUGGCUGUGGACGGAGCUUUGAUCAAAGCCAUCGAGGUAGUUUCAGAGUUGAAUACUUGCCUUUGCACAGUUUUCAUUGCACAAGGAAUGGAGCCACAUAAGCUUGUUUUCUAGAUUUUAAAACCUUUUAUGAGCAUCUUAGGUAUAUGUGCCCUCAUGCGUUACUCUUUUUUUGUUCUUGUCCACAUACCAGAGAUAUUUUGACUUGGUACAUUCUAUAUAUCACAUUUGGUAUAAGCAAUCCAUCUUAUUUAAUUUGAACUUUGAAGCAAUAUUUUUUAAUAGAUAAUAAUAUUGUUAUGUUGAAAACUCAGUGAAUCUUCAAGUAAACUGGGAUGAGAGCACACAUAAAUGAAAUAGUUUUUUCCACAAAUAUUUUGUUGUAAUUAGAUAAGAUUGAUACUGAUGUGGACACAUCGACAAAGACGUCAGACAAAUUGGGCUAACUACCCGAACUUUACCAUUAUGUUUUUUUUAUGCGUAGCUCGGAAUUUCAGAUAAGCUUAUAACCUGAGAGAAAUAUAGUUACUAAUAGAUUCGGAACGGCGUGCGUGAGUGAGUUCUACUUUCUCUUACGCCAAUUUACCUUUGUACUUUUACCAUUCGAAUGAUAAAGCUGACUUACACGAUGGGAAAAACAUUUGUGUCACAUGUAAGUUGUGUUCUGAGUUCACCUUUGAUUUGAGUUUGCAAUUGGAAUAUAUUCAAAUAUUCUCUGCAUCACAACCCAUUAGCCAUCAACAGACAACCGCGAACAAAAAUGAGAACAAAAGAUUUGAAGUAAUCUCUAUUUUAUAUAACGAUUAACGAUGUCUCAUUUGCUUCUGAAAUGACAUUCUUUUGGAGUCAAUGUGUCAUUUGCAUCUUUUAAUAAAUCUGUAUAUGAAAGUUUCAAAUUUUGUUAUCGCUUCAUAAUUCUAUUGAUAUCAUCAAGAGAUAAAUCUCUUUUCAAAUGGUUAGGGAUGCGUAGGAGGAGAUGGAGUGAAUCUUUGUGGCCAGCGAGUAAUCUGUUUACACGCUUCUUUUUUAUUUGUUCUCAACAAGUAUAUUACUAGAAUAAUAUUUGUUGCGCAUCGUGAGUUUAUUCGUAUAUAUUAUCGACAAUUUUUUUAAUAUAUUUGAUCAUUUUAUUUAUAUAUAUAUA